CCCAGACCCAGAACUGCCUGAUCCUGCCUGCUCGGGAGUGCCCCUCGUUUUAUGAAAAAGAGAAUGACAUCUCUGUGGCUUUUCCUUCCCCUGUUAUGGGCCCCCAGCUGUGUCCUCUCCCAGGUGCAGCUGGUGCAGACCGGCCCGGGCGUGGUGAAGCCCGGACAAACCCUCACACUGACCUGCGCUGUCUCGGGUGUCUCCAUCACUGACAGCAGCUACUCGUGGAGCUGGGUCGGGCAGCCCCCCAGGAAAGGGCUGGAGUGGGUAGCACGUAUAUACCCACACGACGGGAGAAAGUGGUUUGCCGCGUCUCUCCAAAGCCGGACCACCAUCUCUGCAGAUACCUCCAAGAACCAGGUCUCCCUGCAGCUGGCCUCCCUCGCGGCUGCAGACACCGCCAUGUAUUACUGCGCCAGAGACACACAGUGACGCAGAGCAAAGCGGGGCAGGUACAAAAAGGGGGAGCGGAUUGUCUAGACUCACUCGGGGCCCUUUCACACUCACAUCUGCAUUAGAAGCGGGGUGAGACACUGGUCACAAGGAGGUUUAGGAGGUGGAAAGGGGAGAGGGAAAAUUCCUCGUCUCCUCACUCAGCUCCUUGUAAAACAGAAACACAGAGCUCACAUCUCAUGGCUUCCCCCGGGGGAAUCAAUCAGAC
Molecule: non-coding RNA, 661 nt
Organism: Dermochelys coriacea (leatherback sea turtle)
Lineage: Eukaryota; Metazoa; Chordata; Testudines; Dermochelyidae
Source: the annotation of a RefSeq genome assembly